GAUGAAGAACGCAGCGAAAUGCGAUACGUAAUGUGAAUUGCAGAAUUCAGUGAAUCAUCGAAUCUUUGAACGCACCUUGCGCUCUUUGGUAUUCCGAAGAGCAUGCCUGUUUGAGUGUCAUGAAAAUAUCAACCUUGACUUGGGUUUUGUGCUCUAGUCUCGGCUUGGAAUUGGGUGCUAGCCGCUUUUACGAGCGGCUCACCUUAAAUGUAUUAGCUGGAUCUGUCUUUGAGACUUGGUUUGACUUGGCGUAAUAAGUAUUUCGCUAAGGACAUUCUUCGGAGUGGCCUCGUUUCUAGGACGCUUGUCCGCUUUCCAAUACAAGUUCCACCUCGUGGACAUGACUUUUUAUUAUCUGGCCUCAAAUCAGGUAGGACUACCCGCUGAACUUAAGCAUAUCAAUAAGCGGAGGA
RNAcentral lists this unclassified non-coding RNA (413 nucleotides) under soil metagenome. RNAcentral describes it as "partial contains 5.8S ribosomal RNA, internal transcribed spacer 2, and large subunit ribosomal RNA". The stretch from base 1 to 120 matches the Rfam family "5.8S ribosomal RNA", at positions 35 to 154 of the family's 154-position model. The record is from RNAcentral.